Non-coding RNA from Vicia faba (fava bean), 252 nucleotides. Lineage: Eukaryota; Viridiplantae; Streptophyta; Magnoliopsida; Fabales; Fabaceae. The record is from the annotation of a GenBank genome assembly.
AUGACACUUUUUCUUCUCUCUUCCUCUCACACCGGCGGUGGUGCGGCUUCAUUCAAAUUCAUCAUCUUCAUCGUGGUUUCAUCUUCCUCAUUCAGCCAUAGUGAUUCCUGCAUCGCAUUGUGGUUCACAUCUCCAUUCAACAUCGUCGCCUUGACCACAAAACCACACCUUUCCUCUUCUCUCUUUUUCAUCUAUGUUACCGGAGCGCAUCCGGCGAAUAGACGCCGCCGUCCUCACUUUCUCAACCCAUAA